Molecule: ribosomal RNA, 425 nt
Filed under: uncultured bacterium
Lineage: Bacteria
Description: partial 16S ribosomal RNA
Rfam family: Bacterial small subunit ribosomal RNA
Source: RNAcentral
GUAGGGAAUCUUGCGCAAUGGGCGAAAGCCUGACGCAGCCAUGCCGCGUGAAUGAUGAAGGUCUUAGGAUUGUAAAAUUCUUUCACCGGGGACGAUAAUGACGGUACCCGGAGAAGAAGCCCCGGCUAACUUCGUGCCAGCAGCCGCGGUAAUACGAAGGGGGCUAGCGUUGCUCGGAAUUACAGGGCGUAAAGGGAGCGUAGGCGGAUAGUUUAGUCAGAGGUGAAAGCCCAGGGCUCAACCUUGGAAUUGCCUUUGAUACUGGCUAUCUUGAGUAUGGAAGAGGUAUGUGGAACUCCGAGUGUAGAGGUGAAAUUCGUAGAUAUUCGGAAGAACACCAGUGGCGAAGGCGACAUACUGGUCCAUUACUGACGCUGAGGCUCGAAAGCGUGGGGAGCAAACAGGAUUAGAAACCCCGGUAGUCC